Nicotiana tabacum (common tobacco) is the source of this 734-nucleotide non-coding RNA. Lineage: Eukaryota; Viridiplantae; Streptophyta; Magnoliopsida; Solanales; Solanaceae. The record is from RefSeq and is a predicted model, not a curated record.
UACAAGGAGUUAAUAUACUAUUAUUUUUAACAUUUUUUUUCAUGAUAGAACUCAGCAACAAAAUUUCUUUGAUCAAACUUUGGAUUAGGAUUAUUUUGAAGCACGAAUGAUUUUUACAUGAAGCUCUUUUCUCGUUUUCUUUAUGUAUUUGUGAGAAAUUCAUUUUUUAGUCUAUAGUAGUUUUGGAUAAUUAAAGUCGCUAUUUUGGGAAAAUCCAAGUUUCAAUCUUGUGAUUAUAUGAGUUAGGUACAGCGUAAAAUCUGCUUUGUGUUGGAAUGAGUAGCAAAAUUGAAACUUUUCAAGUAUAUUCAAUCGUUGGACUGUUGGAGUAUUGGAUAAUAAAGUUUCUAUCUUGAAGAAAAAAAAGAGUUGGCAAAAUGAUAUCUUCAGGAUGAAUUUGGUGAUGACUGCGAUUGGAUUUGCAGUUAGUACUAUGUUCAUAGUAUUUGUCUGCACUAGGCUAAUUUGUGCAAGAAGAUCACACAAUUUUUUCCCUACUCCGAUCUUGUUGUCACGUGUAUUUUUCGUAAUUGACCGGUGUUAGAGGGAUUUUCAAGAGAGUCGACUCAGGUCAGACAGACAGACGUGUAGACCUCUUCAAUAAGUGUUGCUCGAGUUCAGCAUUAUUGAUAGCGAGAACACUUGCUUCCCCAUCCACCAAAAAGCAGCCCGAGCCCCCAGCAGCAGCUCCCACAAGGGGCAGAGGGAGAGACCGAGGUCGUGCUAGAGGUCGA